GUAAGCAUCAGGCUGGAGAUUCAGGUUGAUUCUAAGGAAGCCAACAGCCGUGUUGUGAGUACCCAAUGGAAAGUCUGUUGUGGCAGAAAACUGAUGUCUCCAGCCAACAGCACUGAGGCCCUGAGACCUGCCAACUGUCAUGAUCUUCCGAUGCCUGGACACAGAAAGAGCAGUGGAAGGGGUCGUUGCAUGAGCAAAGACAAAGAGUGGGACACUGACUGUUACAUCUCAAGGAGAAGGAUUGCCAGAUCAAAAGUCUUGCAGUUAACCAGGCGUGGUGGCAGAUACCUGUAAUCCCAGCUAUUCGGGAGGCUGAGGCAGGAGAAUCGCUUGUACCCGGGAGGCAGAGGUUGCAGUGAGCUGAGACCGCGCCAUUGACUCCUGCCUGAUGACAAGAGAGAAUCUACGUCUCAACAACAACAACACGCUUGGGCACUGUAUUAACUCCAUAAUCGAUGCUCUAACCACAAGCCCAGGAUGUGGUUUGGCCACUAUUGAGUGGUUUGUUCUCUCCAUCUAUUU
RNAcentral lists this long non-coding RNA (522 nucleotides) under Homo sapiens (human). Its description in RNAcentral is "HSALNT0178999". The record is from RNAcentral. Lineage: Eukaryota; Metazoa; Chordata; Mammalia; Primates; Hominidae.